AAGCCUCACAGUGAAAGACGGAUAGGCUACCUUCUGAUCCUAUAAUUAACGAAAGAAAUUGUUUAUUUUAACACAGAGGAGAAGGACACAUUUGGCGCUCGCUGUAGCCUCGCAAAAAUAUUUGAGCGCUAGAAUGUCCUAGUCGUAGCCUAACAAUAAUAAUUCAAUAGGACUAUUUUCUGCUAAAACCUUAGGCUCCAUAUUUUACGUCCAAUGUAGGCUAUAGGCCUGCGAGACAUGUAGGCUACAAAAAGACAAUUACACAUUCACAUCACAGUCAGGAAUUAUUUGAAUAAGACGGUAGAUUCUUUUAUUUUACAAGACAGUAGACUAAUAUGUGAUAACUGUUUGGCUGACAGCCUUUAAAGUAGGCUUAAUUUCAUUUCCAGGGAAAGUUUUUUUUCAUGUUUUAGCCUGUUACAGCAGAAAUUAGUGACUGGCAUGUGGGGGCGUGGCAUCACGAUGGUUGCUUCCCAUCGUGAUGUCUGUCAACCAUCACGAUGGACGAUGAUAUCGUCCCUCGGCACAACCCUAAAACCUACACAAAGA
Molecule: long non-coding RNA, 549 nt
Organism: Alosa sapidissima (American shad)
Lineage: Eukaryota; Metazoa; Chordata; Actinopteri; Clupeiformes; Clupeidae
Exons: 3
Source: RefSeq, a predicted model, not a curated record